RNAcentral lists this ribosomal RNA (292 nucleotides) under uncultured bacterium. RNAcentral's name for it is "partial 16S ribosomal RNA". It matches the Rfam family "Bacterial small subunit ribosomal RNA", at positions 505 to 796 of the family's 1533-position model. The record is from RNAcentral.
GUGUCAGCCGCCGCGGUAAUACGGGGGGAGCGAACGUUGUUCGGAAUUACUGGGCGUAAAGGGCGUGCAGGCGGCCUUGUAAGUGGGAUGUGAAAUGCCCUGGCUCAACCAGGGAACUGCAUCCCAUACUGUAAGGCUUGAGUAUAGGAGAGGAUGGGGGAAUUCCCGGUGUAGCGGUGAAAUGCAUUGAUAUCGGGAGGAACACCAGUGGCGAAGGCGCCCAUCUGGCCUAAUACUGACGCUCAAGCGCGAAAGCUAGGGGAGCAAACAGGAUUAGAUACCCUAGUAGUCC